Molecule: ribosomal RNA, 353 nt
Filed under: uncultured bacterium
Lineage: Bacteria
Description: bacterial SSU rRNA
Rfam family: Bacterial small subunit ribosomal RNA
Source: RNAcentral
ACUCCUACGGGAGGCAGCAGUGGGGAAUCUUAGACAAUGGGGGAAAGCCCAUCGAUCUAGCCAUGCCGCGUGAGCGAUGAAGGCCUUAGGGUUGUAAAGCUCUUUCAGCUAGGGAAGAUAAUGACGGUGACCAGCAGAAGAAGCCCCGGCUAACUCCGUGCCAGCAGCCGCGGUAAUACGGAGGGGCUAGCGUUGUUCGGAAUUACUGGGCGUAAAGCGCACGUAGGCGGAUUGGUAAGUUGGGGGUGAAAUCCCGGGGCUCAACCCCGGAACUGCCUUCAAAACUCCCAGUCUUGAGGUCGAGAGAGGUGAGUGGAAUUCCGAGUGUAGAGGUGAAAUUCGUAGAUAUUCGG